GACGAACGCUGGCGGCGUGCUUAACACAUGCAAGUCGAACGGGAGUAUCAAAGAAGCUUGCUUUUAAGAUACUUUAGUGGCGGACGGGUGAGUAACGCGUGAGUAGCUGUCCUAUGCAGGGGGACAACAGUUGGAAACGGCUGCUAAUACACCAUAAGCAGAGAGGUAAAAGGAUUUAUCCGGCAAAGGAGGCACUCGCGUCCUAUCAGCUAGUAGGUUGGGUAACGGCCGACCUAGGCGAAGACGGGUAGCCGGCCUGAGAGGGCGAACGGCCACACUGGAACUGAGAUACGGUCCAGACUCCUACGGGAGGCAGCAGUGGGGAAUAUUGGGCAAUGGGGGCAACCCUGACCCAGCGACGCCGCGUGGGUGAAGAAAUCCUUCGGGAUGUAAAGCCCUGUUGUAUGGGAAGAGUAGAAGACGGUACCAUACGAGGAAGCCCCGGCAAACUACGUGCCAGCCGCCGCCGUAA
This 472-nucleotide ribosomal RNA is filed under the name uncultured bacterium. RNAcentral's name for it is "partial 16S ribosomal RNA". It matches the Rfam family "Bacterial small subunit ribosomal RNA", at positions 28 to 523 of the family's 1533-position model. The record is from RNAcentral.